CAGCAGCCGCGGUAAAACGUAGGUGGCAAGCGUUGUCCGGAAUUAUUGGGCGUAAAGGGCUCGCAGGCGGUUUCUUAAGUCUGAUGUGAAAGCCCCCGGCUCAACCGGGGAGGGUCAUUGGAAACUGGGAAACUUGAGUGCAGAAGAGGAGAGUGGAAUUCCACGUGUAGCGGUGAAAUGCGUAGAGAUGUGGAGGAACACCAGUGGCGAAGGCGACUCUCUGGUCUGUAGCUGACGCUGAAGAGCGAAAGCGUGGGGAGCGAACAGGAUUAGAGACCCCUGUAGUCCCUGUCUCUUAUAA
Molecule: ribosomal RNA, 301 nt
Filed under: uncultured bacterium
Lineage: Bacteria
Description: partial 16S ribosomal RNA
Rfam family: Bacterial small subunit ribosomal RNA
Source: RNAcentral